CUACAUCUCUCCGACCUCGAUAUAUCCCUAAGCCUGCGAAGAUCAAGAAAAACAAAAAACAAAAAACACUUUCUCAUUCUCAAAUCAACUAUUAGAGAACUAAAUGCGAUUGAGGUGAUAGACCAAUUGAACAGAGCAAAACGAAAACGAAAACGAAAACGAAAACGAAACUUACCGAAGAAAUUGCUGAGGAUGGAUUGAAGAAAGAGAAGAGAUUUAGGGUUUUAGCAAAGAAAUGCUUUAGACAGUGUGGCGGUGGUGGCGGUGCAGGUGCAAUGGCUUGAGGGGGGCAGUGUGCAUUUAUAUAGAGAGGGCUCGCGUUACACACUGGAGUUAGGGUUUUGGCUGUUUUAGG
RNAcentral lists this long non-coding RNA (355 nucleotides) under Actinidia chinensis (golden kiwifruit). RNAcentral's name for it is "long non-coding RNA (ACHI_LNC001588)". Lineage: Eukaryota; Viridiplantae; Streptophyta; Magnoliopsida; Ericales; Actinidiaceae. The record is from RNAcentral.